RNAcentral lists this ribosomal RNA (506 nucleotides) under uncultured bacterium. Its description in RNAcentral is "partial 16S ribosomal RNA". It matches the Rfam family "Bacterial small subunit ribosomal RNA", at positions 29 to 523 of the family's 1533-position model. The record is from RNAcentral.
AGUGAACGCUGGCGGUAGGCCUAACACAUGCAAGUCGAACGGCAGCACAGGAGAGCUUGCUCUCUGGGUGGCGAGUGGCGGACGGGUGAGGAAUACAUCGGAAUCUACUCUGUCGUGGGGGAUAACGUAGGGAAACUUACGCUAAUACCGCAUACGACCUACGGGUGAAAGCAGGGGACCUUCGGGCCUUGCGCGAUUGAAUGAGCCGAUGUCGGAUUAGCUAGUUGGCGGGGUAAAGGCCCACCAAGGCGACGAUCCGUAGCUGGUCUGAGAGGAUGAUCAGCCACACUGGAACUGAGACACGGUCCAGACUCCUACGGGAUGCAGCAGUGGGGAAUAUUGGACAAUGGGCGCAAGCCUGAUUCGGCCAUACCGCGUGGGUGAAGAAGGCCUUCGGGUUGUAAAGCCCUUUUGUUGGGAAAGAAAUCCAGCUGGCUAAUACCCGGUUGGGAUGACGGUACCCAAAGAAUAAGCACCGGCUAACUUCGUGCCAGCCGCCGCGGUAA